Molecule: ribosomal RNA, 253 nt
Filed under: uncultured bacterium
Lineage: Bacteria
Description: partial 16S ribosomal RNA
Rfam family: Bacterial small subunit ribosomal RNA
Source: RNAcentral
UACGAAGGGGGCUAGCGUUGCUCGGAAUCACUGGGCGUAAAGGGUGCGUAGGCGGAUCUUUAAGUCAGGGGUGAAAUCCUGGAGCUCAACUCCAGAACUGCCUUUGAUACUGGGAAGCUUGAGUCCGGAAGAGGUGAGUGGAACUCCGAGUGUAGAGGUGAAAUUCGUAGAUAUUCGGAAGAACACCAGUGGCGAAGGCGGCUCACUGGUCCGGUACUGACGCUGAGGUGCGAAAGUGUGGGGAGCGAACAGG